UACGUAGGUGGCAAGCGUUGUCCGGAAUUAUUGGGCGUAAAGCGCGCGCAGGCGGUCCUUUAAGUCUGAUGUGAAAGCCCACGGCUCAACCGUGGAGGGUCAUUGGAAACUGGGGGACUUGAGUACAGAGGAGGAAAGCGGAAUUCCACGUGUAGCGGUGAAAUGCGUAGAGAUGUGGAGGAACACCAGUGGCGAAGGCGGCUUUCUGGUCUGUAACUGACGCUGAGGCGCGAAAGCGUGGGGAGCAAACAGG
This 253-nucleotide ribosomal RNA is filed under the name uncultured bacterium. RNAcentral's name for it is "partial 16S ribosomal RNA". It matches the Rfam family "Bacterial small subunit ribosomal RNA", at positions 524 to 776 of the family's 1533-position model. The record is from RNAcentral.